AUUGAACGCUGGCGGCAUGCUUUACACAUGCAAGUCGAACGGUAACAGUCCGCAAGGUUCUGACGAUUGGCUAACGGGUGAGUAAUGCAUCGGAACGUGCCCACUCGUGGGCGAUCACUACCCGACAGAGUAGCUACUACCGCAUACGAUCUUUGGUUCCUUGUGAGACUUCGUAAGGCCACGCUCGAUUGGUGCGGCCUUUGUCAGAUUAGGUUGAUGGUGGGGUUGAGGAUCACCAAGCCAACGAUCUGUCGCUCGACUGAGAGGACGACCAGCCACACAGGGACUGAGACACGGCCCAGACUCCUAAGGGAGGCAGCAGUGGGAAAUUUUGGACAAGGGGCGGAAGCCUGAUCCAGAAAAGGCGCGUGAAGGAAGAAGGGCUUCGGGUUGUGAACUGCUUUUGUACGGAACGAAAAGGGUCUGGUUAAUACCCAGGGAUAAUGACGGUACCGUAAGAAUAAGCACCGGCUAACUACGUG
RNAcentral lists this ribosomal RNA (482 nucleotides) under uncultured bacterium. RNAcentral describes it as "partial 16S ribosomal RNA". It matches the Rfam family "Bacterial small subunit ribosomal RNA", at positions 30 to 507 of the family's 1533-position model. The record is from RNAcentral.